UACGGAGGGGGCUAGCGUUGUUCGGAAUUACUGGGCGUAAAGCGCACGUAGGCGGCUUUGUAAGUUAGAGGUGAAAGCCCGGGGCUCAACUCCGGAAUUGCCUUUAAGACUGCAUCGCUAGAACGUCGGAGAGGUAAGUGGAAUUCCGAGUGUAGAGGUGAAAUUCGUAGAUAUUCGGAAGAACACCAGUGGCGAAGGCGACUUACUGGACGACUGUUGACGCUGAGGUGCGUAAGCGUGGGGAGCAAACAGG
RNAcentral lists this ribosomal RNA (253 nucleotides) under uncultured bacterium. Its description in RNAcentral is "partial 16S ribosomal RNA". It matches the Rfam family "Bacterial small subunit ribosomal RNA", at positions 524 to 776 of the family's 1533-position model. The record is from RNAcentral.